CCUACGGGUGGCAGCAGUAGGGAAUCUUGCACAAUGGGCGAAAGCCUGAUGGAGCAACGCAGCGUGGGUGAAGAAGGUCCUCGGAGCGUAAAACCUCGUUGUUAGAGAAGAAAGAGAGGGAGAGUAACUGUUCACGUAUGUACGGUAUCAAACAAGAAAGCCAAGGCUAACGACGUGCCAGCAGCCGCGGUAAUACGUAGGUGGCAAGCGUUAUCCGGAUUGAUUGGGCGUGAAGGGAACGCAGGCGGUUUGUUAAGUCUGAUGUGAAAGCUUUCGGCUUAACCUGAGUAGUGCAGUGGAAACUGGGAGUCUUGAGUGCAGGAGAGGUGGGUGGAACUCCAUGUGUAGCGGUGAAAUGCUUAGAUAUCUGGAAGAACUCCGGUGGCGAAGGCGGCUCUCUGGUCUGUAACUGACGCUGAUGUUCGAAAGUGUGGGUAGCAAACAGGAUUAGAUACCCCUGUAGUC
Molecule: ribosomal RNA, 465 nt
Filed under: uncultured bacterium
Lineage: Bacteria
Description: partial 16S ribosomal RNA
Rfam family: Bacterial small subunit ribosomal RNA
Source: RNAcentral